UACGGGGGGGGCAAGCGUUGUUCGGAAUUACUGGGCGUAAAGGGCUCGUAGGUGGCCAACUAAGUCAGACGUGAAAUCCCAAAGCUUAACUUUGGAACUGCGUCGGAUACUGGAUGGCUUGAAUUCGGGAGAGGGAUGCAGAAUUCCAGGUGUAGCGGUGAAAUGCGUAGAGAUCGUGAGGAAGACCAGUGGCGAAGGCGGGUCUCUGGACAGUUCCUGACACUGAGGCACGAAGGCCAGGGGAGCAAACGGG
RNAcentral lists this ribosomal RNA (253 nucleotides) under uncultured bacterium. RNAcentral describes it as "partial 16S ribosomal RNA". It matches the Rfam family "Bacterial small subunit ribosomal RNA", at positions 524 to 776 of the family's 1533-position model. The record is from RNAcentral.